UACAGAGGUGGCAAGCGUUGUUCGGAAUUACUGGGCGUAAAGGGCGCGUAGGCGGCCAUCUAAGUCAGACGUGAAAUCCCCCGGCUUAACCUGGGAACUGCGUCUGAUACUGGAAGGCUCGAGUUUGGGAGAGGGAUGUGGAAUUCCAGGUGUAGCGGUGAAAUGCGUAGAUAUCUGGAGGAAUACCGGUGGCGAAGGCGGCAUCCUGGACCGACAUUGACGCUGAGGAGCGAAAGCUAGGGGAGCAAACGGG
Molecule: ribosomal RNA, 253 nt
Filed under: uncultured bacterium
Lineage: Bacteria
Description: partial 16S ribosomal RNA
Rfam family: Bacterial small subunit ribosomal RNA
Source: RNAcentral